This 4962-nucleotide long non-coding RNA is filed under the name Homo sapiens (human). RNAcentral describes it as "HSALNT0388599". The record is from RNAcentral. Lineage: Eukaryota; Metazoa; Chordata; Mammalia; Primates; Hominidae.
AUGUAAAUGGGCAGGAUCAAUUCCUGCCAACAAAAACCCUGCUUCAUGGAAGAAGGCCAUGCUCCAUGGCAUAGAUAUGAACUUGUUAUGAUAUUUCUGAAGAAGAAGAGACUGUAAGGAAGACCUCUCCUAACUUAGCAACCAUUCUCCAUUUUCCAAAAGGGUAAACCAAGGCACAGAAAGAUAGGCACAAGGUAACUUAUGCAUGCAGAAGGUAACAAACACUCGUGCACACACACUGAAAAUCAGAAAGAGAGAGAGAGAGAGAGUUGCCAUAAUUAGUACUUUUGUUUAGAGAAGAAAGGCUGAAGCCUGGAGAAGUUAAGCAACAUGCUUAAAUCCACACAGCUAGUCAGAGGCAAAGCCAAGAUUUGAACGUGGGUAGUCUGAAUCCAGGAUCUUGGCCUUCACCCCUCUAUAACAUGACACCCUCAUCCCUGAAAAAAGAAAAAGUCAACCGAAAGCAUUGUGAAAAGUGUCCUCUAAUAAAAUGGCUAAUUCUGGCAACAGGCCCAGAGAGGGGAUGGAGAAAUCCACUUAGUUUUACUUUCAUGACUGAUACAUAUCUUAAAACUGAGUUUCUUGCUGGAAGAUUUUUUAAAUCUUAUUGUAAAGACCUAGGAACUUAAAACUAACUGAAAAUUCUGGCCAUUAUUGAUCAUCAGGGAUAUGUUAUCUUAAAGAAAGAACUUCUAGCCAAUGUAACACUUGGAUUAAAUUAAUAGCUUCUCAAUCCAGCCAAUAGGUGCUUCUAAACAACACUGGCUGCUCUUGGUCUAUUCUUUAAGUGACCAGAACAGAGAAAGAAAGGUUUUUCAGUGUUAUUUCCCUUGCUAUUUUCUAAAUGUGCUGUGAUCCCUUUGUUGUGGGAAGUUUAGCAUUGAACUUAUAAAUUUGACAGUCCAGAAGAGCUCUUCUAGGUGGAAGCGUAGAUUUAAAUUUUAGACCCCAAGCAAAACUUUCAAUUAAAAAAAGGGAAAAAAUGCUUUUAAAGGAGAAAAUAUGGUGGCUGCUUAGUGUCUGUGUAUAGGUUGGAGGGCUUAGGGUGGGAGGAGGAGUGAAGAGAGCCUCCUUUUGUUGAUUUCCCUAAGUCAUCAGUCAGACUAGCAGUACAUCAAUAUUAUAAGCAUUUUUCUAAACAGAAGAAAUGAAUGAGUUCCCAAGUGUAGCCACUCAAAAGCCUGCAUCAGCUCAGUGAAACUUUCCUUCCAAGAGGCCCACAGCUUCUGGCCUGUCUCCUGAUGGAACAGAAUAUGUGUGGAAAGGGCUUCAUGCUGUGGUCACUGAUUACAGAGUCAAUUAUCUUACUACAAUUUUUUUCACAGUAAGAAAACCUAACCACUUUCAAUGAAAAAACUGUCUCUACUGCAUUCUCCAUAAAUGUCCUUGACUCUUCUUGAGGGCAUUUUUAGGGCCCUCAGGUAUACAGAUUUGAUAAAACAUACUAGAUUCUCUGUACAUGUUUGUUGAAAUAAGUUAUUUUAAGACCUAUUACAGUGGUGUGGGGGAAUACUUAACCCAGAGAGUUGGAGUUUUUUUUUUUUUGGUUGUUUGUUUUGAGGCAGAGUCUUGCUCUGUCAUCCAGGCUGGAGUGCAGCGGCACAAUCUCGCUCACUGCAACCUUCCACCUCCUGGGUUCUGGUGAUUCUCCUGCCUCAGCCUACUCAGUAGCUGGGAUUACAGGCGCGUACCACCACACCUGGCUAAUUUUUAUAUUUUUAAUUGAGACGGGGGUUUCACUACAUUGGUCAGGCUGGUCUCGAACUCCUGACCUCAUGAUCCACCCACCUCGGCCUCCCAAAGUGCUUGAAUUACAAGUGUGAGCCACUGCACCUGGCCCCAUAGGAUUGUUUUUAAGAUCCAAUGACUCCUGUUGCCUGGCUCAGUAAAUGGUAGUUAUAAAAGAGUGCUAAGUUCCAUAGGAAAAAAGAAAUUGGUAAAUGAUGUGGGAGUCUAGAGAUUAAUGAAUUUACUUCCAGCUUUGGGAAUGAAGAUGAGUGUAAAACUUAAAGCUUUUUUCAGAAGUAACAUUUGAACUGAGCCUUAGGGAGGAAGAAGUCUAUUUUUCUUCCUCUACCAUCUUUUCGUUUCUCUGGAUGGGGAGGUAUACAGAAUUGAUUAAACCUUGGGCCAUGGAUGGCUCACAUUUCCUAGGGGGUAGGUCCAAAGAACAUCAAGUUAGAUCAAAUGCAUGAUGCAGUGGUCUCUCUCCUUUCCUGUUUCCAUAUAGGUAAAUUUCUAUUGAUCUGGGCACUGUACUCUCUUUCAUCUCCAGCAAUCCUAUCACCAAUAGAUGUGUAGGCUGAACGGAUAAUUCCUGUCAGAGGCUGCCAUCUUGCUUGCCAGUCUCUUCCUCUCAAGGACCUUUGUAUCCUGGUUACUUUAGCCUCGUUUUAGAAUGACUGUGGUAAGAUAUAACUUUGGUAUUACAGUGGAGUAAAAGUCCAUAUUAGUUUUCUAGGGCUGCUAUAACUUAACAAAAUUCCACAGACUGGGUGGCUUAUAAAAUAGAAAUUUAUGUUCUCAGUUCUGAAGGCUAGAUGUUUGAGAUCAAGGUGUUGGCAGCUCUCCUGAGGGCUGUGAGGGAAGGAUCUGUUCCAGGACACUCUCCUUGGGUUGCAGAUGGCCAUCUUCUCCCUGGUUCUCUUCACAUGGCGUUCUCCCUGUGUCCAUGUCUGUGACUAAGUUUUCCAAGAGAACAAGGCAUUUAUUAAGUAUUAACUCACACAAUCAUGGGGUCCUACAAUAGGCUGUUUGUAAGCUGAGAAGCAAGGAAAGCCAGUCCAAAUCCCAAAACUAAAGAACCUAGAGUCUGUUGUUUGAGGGCAGGAAGCAUCCAGCAUGGGAGAAAGAUGUUGGCUGGGAGGCUAGGCAAGUCUAGUCUUUUCACAUUUUUCUGCCCGCUUUAUAUUCUAGCCAUGCUGGCAGCUGAUUAGAUGGUGCCCACUCAGAUUAAGGGUGGGUCUGACUUUCCCAGCGCACUGACUCAAAUGUUAGUCUCCUUUGGCAACACCCUCACAGACACACCCAGGAUCAAUACUUUGCAUCCUUCAAUCCAAUCAAGUUGACACUCAGUAUUAACCAUCACAGUCUAUAGCCAAGUCUUCCUUAGGGCUUGGAUCUGCACCAGUGUUCCAAUAUUUUUUGCCACAAGAUCAAAAUUAAGUGAUGACUUUGAGUUCCAAUCUGAUCUGUCAUUGUUCCCUUUGCAUAUUCCCUGUUGAGCCUCUGUGAUAAAGAAGUCAUUUGAAUAUACCAGGUUCCCCGAUCCAAGUGCCAACUAACAGUCUUCACACACCCUUCCCUCAAAACCCUAAUAUGAGCUUCGAAAGAUGCAUGAUUUGAAUAUGUGGAGAUGGGAAAUUACUGAGCCCGUAGAGUAAAUAUCACAUGUGGGGCUCAGUCUUAAGUGAGGUUACUGGGGCACCUACCUUAUGGACAGAAUUCAAAGCGAUGCCAAAAAGCUUAUUAAUCAAGUUAAAUAAUAUUUUAAUGAAGUAUUUAAAAAAGCAAACUAGUAAAAAAAGAUAAAAAACAUAUCAAACUUUAAAAAGACAAGAUCCGUGACAAUCCUUCAAAUAUUUUUAGACAGGUGUCUGAAAACCUCUCAGAGCCUCUAAGGCUUCUAAGAGCCUCUCUUUCUGGGUUGAAAUCUUGCUGUGGUGUCAAAUGUCUCUUAUAGGACAUGGUAUUUAGAUCUCUCACUACUCUUCCAUUAAUUCAUUCAACAAAUUAUUUGUUCAUUGUGUGUCUACUAAGUGCCAUCCAGAAUAGUAAUUAAAUAUUUGUCAAAUUAAUAAACAAGCAAAUAUCUAAUUACAGUGUUUUUAAAAAGACACCCACAGGGGCUGUCUAGUCUAGUAGAAAGAAGAAGCAUUAACAAAGUGGUGGGUGUCAGAAGGGCUUGGAUUGGAUGGUAAAGGAUCCUUAAAAUAGGUUUUUUAUUUAUUAAGUCAAUAAAUAAUUAUUUAGUAUAUACUAAUGCAGGGCAUUCUACAUAUAUCAGUUAAGCAUUUCAAAAUGCUAGUAGGCAAAAUGAUUUAGAGACUCAAAGUGUAAAUUGUCAGUAUUUUUCAAGAGAUUAAUUUCAUGGAGGAAGGCCUCCUUGGUGAAUUACUCUAAGAGACAAUGUUUACUGGAUACAUGUCAUUGCAUUCCUCUAGCUGUUAUUCCUCUAGCAGCAAUAACUAGAGGAGGAGGCAGAGAUAGCAGAAGAGGGCAUUUCUUCUUUAUUAGUCAUGACAAAUGAGAGAUAUAAACCAAAUUGGCAAAAAGUGGAAACUAAGUACAGUGAUGAAUAUUUUAGUGAAGAAGAUGCACAUUUGGUUACAAAAUUGCGAGUCUGCUAAGCCUGUAUGAAAACUACAAUGAGCUAUCAGUUAAUCUCUACUGUUUAAAGUUCUAGGAAGAGAAGUAAGCAAGUUGCAUCCCUUGUUCAUAAAACCAAAUGACCACUUUCAACCCUCAAAGGACAGUAUUUAGCUGAUGAUGCUUUAAGUAAUUUUCUGGAGUUACGGAGUAAACGCUGCAACAAGAGGUAGCUUCAAGUUCCCUCUUUGUGGGAAGGGGAUGAUAGGCGAAAGAACAAAAUUGGCCUCCUCUCUAGGAAAAAAGGAUGGAAAAGAUGGGAUAAGAAAGACAAAUAGGCUUACCCAGACAAUGGGCAGGAAAUCGGGUGUAGCAAAUGGCUUUAUAAAGAGACAGCACAGAGCAGUAGCGGGUAUAGACCCAUCUAACUGAAAUAACAAUUGAACUAAUACUGAUGGAAUGCCUACAAUGUAUAAGAAACCAUCCUAGAAUGCCCUGGGGGUAUUCAUGGCCCCUGCCCCUGAGGCACUGAUAAUAAAUAGGAAAGAGAAUGACAUUUGUGAAUUACUUUAAUAUAAAAUGAAGUCUGGAAGAUACUACUACAAAUAUAUAAAAUAUUAUAUAUGUACUGUAAUAAUAAAACAUGCAUAUGUA